Molecule: non-coding RNA, 1144 nt
Organism: Phoenix dactylifera (date palm)
Lineage: Eukaryota; Viridiplantae; Streptophyta; Magnoliopsida; Arecales; Arecaceae
Source: RefSeq, a predicted model, not a curated record
GAGAGAGAAGAGGAGAAUGGAGACGAAGAGGCGAGAAAUCACUUGUACUACUAAAAAAUGGAAAGUUUACGGACAAUCCACUGUUGCCUCUUCCUAAGAAGGCCAAGAAGAUCCUUGUAGCUGGGAGCCAUGCCGACAACUUGGGCUGUCAGUGUGGAGGAUGGACUAUCACUUGGCAAGGACGCAGUGGGAACAAUCUAACAAUUGGAACCACAAUCCUUGAUGCCAUCAAGGCCAUUGUUGACACCACCACCAAGGUUGUCUACUCUGGAAAAUUAUCGAAGUGGAAUCUAGAUUAAGCUACAAGACCUAACAAGUGUUCACGUAUGAGAAGAAAAACACAAGCAACAGUGCACUUUUCUAUUUUUCCUUUUUUAUUGAGGUUAACAAGAAAUGUUACUAACAUCUCUUUUCUUCGUUAGAAUCAUAAAGCAUAAAUUCGACUGUCUAACAAAUGUUUGUCCUUUACAUAAUCAAACAAAUAGAUCUGAUUUUUCUUUUCCCCCUUUAAUGGUAAAACACCAAAAAUACUGUGUUCAACAAGAAUGUCAAAUAUAGGAGAUAGUAGAUAUGAUACUACCAUAAAGUUUUCCUCAUAAUAAAAAAAGAAAGAUAGUACCAUAAACUAGAAAGCAUGAAAAAAAUAAUUAGCUGUCACUUCAAAUACUUACUAGAAGCCCUAAUUGUGAGAGAAACUUGAAUACGAAGAGCAUUUUAAGCCCUUUCAAUCUAAUUAUUUCAACACAAAUUUCUUAUCUUAUUUCAGACUAUAAACAUGCAGCGAAGGGGAAAAAUAUAUAAGACCGCCUGUUGCUUUCGCAUUCAAAUGAAAAAUAAAAAUGUAAGGACUCGCAGGCCUGAAUGAGGUGAAGGUUAGUAGGGUCUUCUCGUGGGUUGCUCAAAAAACAAAAAGAAAAAAGAAAAAAACUAAGGUGGUUCAUAGGAGGAGGCUUGCAGGUUUACUUUCCAUGUCAAUUGCCCAGUGAUUUGUCAUUUAACUAUAACUAGUCUAUGCACAAGGUUGACACAGUGGCAGUUCACUUAAUAUCCUGCAUGCACACAUAUGGCAGCAGAUAUCAGGAGGUAUUCCCAUAGACUGUAGGAGUGACAUCAUUGUUGAUUUCUGAACCAAUUCGGCCAAAGA